AUUGGGAUGAGAGAUUGGAUUUCCAUUAGAUCUUCAUUGAUUAUACUAUGGGUAGAUGGGAUCUUAUCUUUGUAUGCAUAACUUGGGACUUACCUUUAGCAUUCUCUUAAAGCUUAGUCAUUCUUGAGAGAUCCCUUGUUACUAAAGCAUAUUCUUU
This 157-nucleotide small RNA is filed under the name Arabidopsis thaliana (thale cress). RNAcentral describes it as "ATSL087270". Lineage: Eukaryota; Viridiplantae; Streptophyta; Magnoliopsida; Brassicales; Brassicaceae. The record is from RNAcentral.